ACGCUCACACCUACGGGAGCAGCAGUGGGGGAUAUUGCACAAUGGGGGAAACCCUGAUGCAGCAACGCCGCGUGAGGGAAGAAGGUUUUCGGAUUGUAAACCUCUGUCCUUGGUGACGAUAAUGACGGUAGCCAAGGAGGAAGCUCCGGACUAACUACGUGCCAGCAGCCGCGGUAAUCUGAGGCGGGCUGGCAAGGC
RNAcentral lists this ribosomal RNA (198 nucleotides) under uncultured bacterium. RNAcentral describes it as "partial 16S ribosomal RNA". It matches the Rfam family "Bacterial small subunit ribosomal RNA", at positions 329 to 539 of the family's 1533-position model. The record is from RNAcentral.